Molecule: ribosomal RNA, 490 nt
Filed under: uncultured bacterium
Lineage: Bacteria
Description: partial 16S ribosomal RNA
Rfam family: Bacterial small subunit ribosomal RNA
Source: RNAcentral
AGUGAACGCUGGCGGUAGGCCUAACACAUGCAAGUCGAACGGCAGCACAGUAAGAGCUUGCUCUUACGGGUGGCGAGUGGCGGACGGGUGAGGAAUACAUCGGAAUCUACUUUUUCGUGGGGGAUAACGUAGGGAAACUUACGCUAAUACCGCAUACGACCUACGGGUGAAAGCAGGGGAUCUUCGGACCUUGCGCGAUUGAAUGAGCCGAUGUCGGAUUAGCUAGUUGGCGGGGUAAAGGCCCACCAAGGCGACGAUCCGUAGCUGGUCUGAGAGGAUGAUCAGCAAGACUGGAACUAAGACACGGUCCAGACUCCUACGGAGGCAGCAGUGGGGAAUAUUGGACAAUGGGCGCAAGCCUGAUCCAGCCAUACCGCGUGGGUGAAGAAGGCCUUCGGGUUGUAAAGCCCUUUUGUUGGGAAAGAAAAGCAGCAGGUUAAUACCCCGCUGUUCUGACGGUACCCAAAGAAUAAGCACCGGCUAACUUCGU